UACGGAGGGUGCAAGCGUUGCUCGGAAUUAUUGGGCGUAAAGCGUAUGUAGGCGGUUUUCUAAGUCUGAUGUGAAAUCCCAAGGCUUAACCUUGGAACUGCAUUGGAUACUGGAAAGCUAGAGGACAGUAGAGGAUGGUGGAAUUCCAGGUGUAGGGGUGAAAUCCGUAGAUAUCUGGAGGAACAUCAGUGGCGAAGGCGGCCAUCUGGACUGUGUCUGACGCUGAGAUACGAAAGCGUGGGGAGCAAACAGG
This 253-nucleotide ribosomal RNA is filed under the name uncultured bacterium. Its description in RNAcentral is "partial 16S ribosomal RNA". It matches the Rfam family "Bacterial small subunit ribosomal RNA", at positions 524 to 776 of the family's 1533-position model. The record is from RNAcentral.